UGGCUCAGUUGGUAGAGCAUGGUGUUUGCAACAUCCAGGAUUGUGGGUUCGAUUCCCAC
This 59-nucleotide transfer RNA is filed under the name Salmo salar (Atlantic salmon). It matches the Rfam family "tRNA", at positions 8 to 63 of the family's 71-position model. Rfam says of the family: Transfer RNA (tRNA) molecules are approximately 80 nucleotides in length. Their secondary structure includes four short double-helical elements and three loops (D, anti-codon, and T loops). Further hydrogen bonds mediate the characteristic L-shaped molecular structure. tRNAs have two regions of fundamental functional importance: the anti-codon, which is responsible for specific mRNA codon recognition, and the 3' end, to which the tRNAs corresponding amino acid is attached (by aminoacyl-tRNA synthetases). tRNAs cope with the degeneracy of the genetic code in two manners: having more than one tRNA (with a specific anti-codon) for a particular amino acid; and 'wobble' base-pairing, i.e. permitting non-standard base-pairing at the 3rd anti-codon position. Lineage: Eukaryota; Metazoa; Chordata; Actinopteri; Salmoniformes; Salmonidae. The record is from Rfam by way of RNAcentral.